GACGAACGCUGGCGGCGUGCUUAACACAUGCAAGUCGAACGGAGCGAAUGAAAGCUUGCUUUUAUGAGCUUAGUGGCAAACGGGUGAGUAACACGUAGACAACCUGCCGAUCAGAUGGGGACAACAUUCCGAAAGGAAUGCUAAUACCGAAUGAAGUGUGGGGGAGGCAUCUUCCCUACAUGAAAGAUGGCCUCUAUAUAUAAGCUAUCACUGAUCGAUGGGUCUGCGUCUGAUUAGCUAGUAGGUAAGGUAACGGCUUACCUAGGCGACGAUCAGUAGCCGGUCUGAGAGGAUGAACGGCCACAUUGGGACUGAGACACGGCCCAGACUCCUACGGGAGGCAGCAGUGGGGAAUCUUCCGCAAUGGGCGCAAGCCUGACGGAGCAACGCCGCGUGAGUGAAGAAGGUCUUCGGAUCGUAAAGCUCUGUUGAAGGGGACGAACGUACAUAAGUUGAAUAAUCCUUAUGUAAAA
Molecule: ribosomal RNA, 473 nt
Filed under: Centipeda artemidis
Lineage: Bacteria; Bacillati; Bacillota; Negativicutes; Selenomonadales; Selenomonadaceae
Description: bacterial SSU rRNA
Rfam family: Bacterial small subunit ribosomal RNA
Source: RNAcentral